UGCCAGCCGCCGCGGUAACACCAUCACAUCAAGGUUUAUACAAUUACUGGGCAUAAAGCGCACGUAGGCGGCCUGAUAAGUCAGUUGUGAAAGCCCUCGGCUCAACCGGGGAACUGCAAUUGAUACUGUCAGGCUCGAGGGUGGUUGGGGUGAGUGGAACUUCUGGUGGAGCGGUGAAAUGCGUAGAUAUCAGAAGGAACACCAGUGGCGAAAGCGGCUCACUGGACCACAUCUGACGCUGAGGUGCGAAAGCUAGGGUAGCGAACGGGAUUAGAUA
This 277-nucleotide ribosomal RNA is filed under the name uncultured bacterium. RNAcentral describes it as "partial 16S ribosomal RNA". It matches the Rfam family "Bacterial small subunit ribosomal RNA", at positions 506 to 784 of the family's 1533-position model. The record is from RNAcentral.